This 333-nucleotide ribosomal RNA is filed under the name Triticum aestivum (bread wheat). Its description in RNAcentral is "partial small subunit ribosomal RNA". The record is from RNAcentral. Lineage: Eukaryota; Viridiplantae; Streptophyta; Magnoliopsida; Poales; Poaceae.
AUGACUGCUAUCACGGUCAGGCCAAGGGCUAUGUUCAGUGCGAUUCUUAGCAAGAUUUGUUUGUCUGAUGCAAAGUACGCGCGUUGUAGGAACUACAACCGACGUGUGGGUGCAACUAUGGUUUUCUGGCCGUCCAUGUUGCACUUUUCCGAAUGGCAGAACCCAGGAAGAUCCAAGACAAUCCAACUAGGGAUAUUUCAACAGUUUGAAAUAAGGAAUUGGAACUGCAGCAUCCUGAAAUACUUGACAAACUACAGGAAGAAGCAUCAAGGACUUGCUCCCCAUGAAACAACUCCACAAUAUCAUUGUCACAUGCUGUUUUAUUUGCUAUGA